Molecule: ribosomal RNA, 253 nt
Filed under: uncultured bacterium
Lineage: Bacteria
Description: partial 16S ribosomal RNA
Rfam family: Bacterial small subunit ribosomal RNA
Source: RNAcentral
UACGUAGGGGGCGAGCGUUGUCCGGAUUUAUUGGGCGUAAAGAGCGUGUAGGCGGCCAGGUAGGUCUGCUGUGAAAACUCGAGGCUCAACCUCGAGACGUCGGCGGAAACCAUCUGGCUAGAGUCCGGAAGAGGAGAGUGGAAUUCCUGGUGUAGCGGUGAAAUGCGCAGAUAUCAGGAAGAACACCCGUGGCGAAGGCGGCUCUCUGGGUCGGUACUGACGCUGAGACGCGAAAGCGUGGGGAGCGAACAGG